AACAUACAUAAAACCCAGUUUCUCUAUUUUAAUCCAUCACAUUUGGAAUUAAAAACUAGUUUAAAUAAUGUCUUGGAAUUAUAACAAAGUUCUAAGGUGAAUUUUUGUUUUGGCACCAUUAUGAGUAGACACAGCACAAGAGAAAAGUUCAGCUCAGUGGUUCUCGAAAUGCAGUCUCUGGAUUAACAUUUGCCCAACUGGGAACUUAGAAGUGCAAAGUAUACCUGUGGAUUCGACUCUGACCUACUGAAUAAGCAGCUCUGCAGGACUGACAAUCAUUGAAGAGCAAUCUCUGGAUUUAAAAAAAAACAAACAAAUACAGUAAAGGAUAUGCUGAGAGGCUUUAGGGAUGUAAAAUAAAUGAUGAGGAGACUGACAACCGGAGAGGAGCGAGCGAUGACUUUACUCGAGCUGUAACCCUGGCCUCUGAUCUGUGUGAUACUUCAUGUUGGGGGUACAGAGACAUGAGGUACAGCUUCUGCCCUCAAGACACUCUGACACAUGCCAGAAAGAAAAAUGCUGCUAUCGUGGGAUGAAUUCAAGUUCAAAGCACAUGGAAUUGCUAUGGAGAAGGAACUAUGCCCAAGAUAUAUACAAGGGAAGCUUUAUAAGGGAGAAGACAUUUGCGUUGCAUCCUAAAGAAUGAACAGCAUUUCUUCAGAGAGAAAGCUCUACCCAGUGCCUUUUACAACACUUGACAGGCCUGGACAAGCACUUACAGUUGAUGUGCCAAAUGGAAUUAUUAGAUCAUAGGAUAACAAACGAAAAUAAGGGGAAAAAUUUCUAUAUAAAUAUGUUGCCUCUCGCCUUGUUUCUAGGAACAAAAAAGAAAAAGAAAUGACAUCUAUUUCCAAUAACAGGAUGAUGAGUCACUACAAUCAACGUUUAGACUGUCCCUAUGAAGCCCUGUGUUGCUGUAUCCAGUGCCGGUGAGCGCGAGAGGGCACAGGACUGAGGUGGAGACGCGGCAGGAACCUGACCUGGAAGGCAGGGCCGUGGGGCACGGCGGGGUGACACAGACAAGAAGAGCAGUGCCAUCCGGCGGGACAGCCCCACUCAGAACCCGGGCCACAGAGACCAGAACCCUGAAAACUUGGAGCCUUGUUCCUGUAAAGACUUCUGGAGGUCCUCAAUCUGCUGCUGCAAUUCUCGGAUUCGCUCUCUGCUCAGUCUAUCAUAAGAUAAAUCACAUGUGCUUAUUUGUA
Camelus dromedarius (Arabian camel) is the source of this 1205-nucleotide long non-coding RNA. RefSeq lists it as uncharacterized. The record is from RefSeq and is a predicted model, not a curated record. NCBI's taxonomy places the organism in Eukaryota, Metazoa, Chordata, Mammalia, Artiodactyla, Camelidae. The transcript has 6 exons.